GGAAAGAUGCGAGAGCGGUCGAAUCGGGCGGUCUCGAAAACCGUUGAACUGAAAAGUUCCGGGGGUUCGAAUCCCCCUCUUUCCG
This 85-nucleotide transfer RNA is filed under the name Treponema sp. RNAcentral's name for it is "tRNA-Ser". It matches the Rfam family "tRNA". From Rfam's summary of the family: Transfer RNA (tRNA) molecules are approximately 80 nucleotides in length. Their secondary structure includes four short double-helical elements and three loops (D, anti-codon, and T loops). Further hydrogen bonds mediate the characteristic L-shaped molecular structure. tRNAs have two regions of fundamental functional importance: the anti-codon, which is responsible for specific mRNA codon recognition, and the 3' end, to which the tRNAs corresponding amino acid is attached (by aminoacyl-tRNA synthetases). tRNAs cope with the degeneracy of the genetic code in two manners: having more than one tRNA (with a specific anti-codon) for a particular amino acid; and 'wobble' base-pairing, i.e. permitting non-standard base-pairing at the 3rd anti-codon position. RNAcentral also lists the same sequence under 2 other names. The record is from RNAcentral. Lineage: Bacteria; Pseudomonadati; Spirochaetota; Spirochaetia; Treponematales; Treponemataceae.